Molecule: ribosomal RNA, 252 nt
Filed under: uncultured bacterium
Lineage: Bacteria
Description: partial 16S ribosomal RNA
Rfam family: Bacterial small subunit ribosomal RNA
Source: RNAcentral
UACGUAGGUCCCGAGCGUUGUCCGGAUUUAUUGGGCGUAAAGCGAGCGCAGGUGGUUUAUUAAGUCUGGUGUAAAAGGCAGUGGCUCAACCAUUGUAUGCAUUGGGAACUGGUAGACUUGAGUGCAGGAGAGGAGAGUGGAAUUCCAUGUGUAGCGGUGAAAUGCGUAGAUAUAUGGAGGAACACCGGUGGCGAAAGCGGCUCUCUGGUCUGUAACUGACACUGAGGCUCGAAAGCGUGGGGAGCAAACAGG